Molecule: ribosomal RNA, 498 nt
Filed under: uncultured bacterium
Lineage: Bacteria
Description: partial 16S ribosomal RNA
Rfam family: Bacterial small subunit ribosomal RNA
Source: RNAcentral
AUUGAACGCUGGCGGCAUGCCUUACACGUGCAAGUCGAACGGUAACAGGUCUUCGGACGCUGACGAGUGGCGAACGGGUGAGUAAUACAUCGGAACGUGCCCAGUCGUGGGGGAUAACUACUCGAAAGAGUAGCUAAUACCGCAUACGAUCUGAGGAUGAAAGCGGGGGACCUUCGGGCCUCGCGCGAUUGGAGCGGCCGAUGGCAGAUUAGGUAGUUGGUGGGAUAAAAGCUUACCAAGCCGACGAUCUGUAGCUGGUCUGAGAGGACGACCAGCCACACUGGGACUGAGACACGGCCCAGACUCCUACGGGAGGCAGCAGUGGGGAAUUUUGGACAAUGGGCGAAAGCCUGAUCCAGCAAUGCCGCGUGCAGGAUGAAGGCCUUCGGGUUGUAAACUGCUUUUGUACGGAACGAAAGAGCUUCUCCUAAUACGAGAGGCCCAUGACGGUACCGUAAGAAUAAGCACCGGCUAACUACGUGCCAGCCGCCGCCGUAA